GUAGGUGGCAAGCGUUGUCCGGAAUUAUUGGGCGUAAAGCGCGGGCAGGCGGUUCUUUAAGUCUGAUGUGAAAGCCCACGGCUCAACCGUGGAGGGUCAUUGGAAACUGGAGAACUUGAGUACAGAAGAGGAAAGCGGAAUUCCACGUGUAGCGGUGAAAUGCGUAGAGAUGUGGAGGAACACCAGUGGCGAAGGCGGCUUUCUGGUCUGUAACUGACGCUGAGGCGCGAAAGCGUGGGGAGCAAACAGGAUUAGAUACCCUGGUAGUCCACGCCGUAAACGAUGAGUGCUAAGUGUUAGGGGGUUUCCCGCCCCCCUUAGUGCUGCAGCUAACGCAUUAAGCACUCCGCCUGGGGAGUACGGCCGCAAGGCUG
RNAcentral lists this ribosomal RNA (374 nucleotides) under uncultured organism. RNAcentral describes it as "partial 16S ribosomal RNA". It matches the Rfam family "Bacterial small subunit ribosomal RNA", at positions 527 to 896 of the family's 1533-position model. The record is from RNAcentral.